CAAUCAGAUGUGAAUCAGAAGUUUUCACGUAGGUGCUGGUGAAGCCAGGUGAUUCAACAGCUGAAUCUGGAGAUAUUGGCAGAAGACCAUGCAUUCUUGAAGGUUUUUCGGGAGGAUUUUGUUCACAGUCUGCAGCUUGCGGAGAAGGUGUAGGCACAUCCUUAGGUCUCUGCCUAUCAUUUACAGGAGCAUGUGUAGCGAACGUCAUAUCCGGUUGCGUCUGGAAAGGUGUAGCCUCAUCCUGAGUUAGAGCAGGCUGCUCUUUACUAAUUGACGAAAGUGGCG
This 285-nucleotide long non-coding RNA is filed under the name Physcomitrium patens. RNAcentral's name for it is "long non-coding RNA (PPAT_LNC013272)". Lineage: Eukaryota; Viridiplantae; Streptophyta; Bryopsida; Funariales; Funariaceae. The record is from RNAcentral.